CAGCCUUGGGCCGUGGUUUAGGAGGAUCAAAGACGGGGAGGGAUGUGGCUGCAAGUUACAGGGAAGAAAGAGCGGGGCAGCGGCCCCGAAAGAGAAACAGUUGCUGCUGAUCAGUUACAGGGGCUUGCCGCCUUGCCUUCCCCCUUAGAAACUGCCGGAAGGCCUCUGACCUUCUCUUCUCUCUUCGGUCUCCUGAGCUCCCUCCCAUGCUGCACGCCCCCACCUAUUGCCACAAGGCAGUUCUCCCCGCCAUCCCCAGCCCCACCCCCGGAGCAUCGCCAGAUUUAGGGCUCUGCGCCCGAGCACCAGGGCUGGCUGCUCGGGGGCUCGCUCUGCCAGCCCCGCCGCGGGCUCCGCAUUGCGGCGGUGCGGGCGCCGAACCUCCCAGCGCGCUUUCCCGGCUGCGAUCUGCAGUGCGGUGCCCGCCCCGCCGCCUCCCUGCCCCCGCACGCCCCCUGGAGCCCUGCGCCUAGCUGCUGCCGGCGGGUUGCAUAAGCCCCGCGCGCAGGGGCGCUGAAUUCAGCUUCCCGGUCAUCCAAACUCGUGGCCAGACGGUGAAAGCUGCGAUGCUGCUGGACCGUCCUCCCCUCUGCAGCUGUCAAAGAGCCGCGCCCCGAGGCAACAAAUCCAGACGCGGCAAAUACCCUGUGACAGAUGAGAGAAUAUUUGCUCCUUGAGGAGAGGCGAGGAAGAGGGACAUCUCUUCAUGAACAGCCCCAAAACAAGUAAACAUUGUUAUAAUUUCAGAUCUGAAAACAGGAAAGCCCCGGUGCAGGGACUUCACAAAAGGGUCAGCAUAGAACAGAUGCAUCCAUCAUCUGAGUCACUGGGCUGGAUGCUGGUGAAGAUAAAAAAAAAAUCAUUAACACAGAGACGCCGCCUUUGAGUGAUAGUGUAGUGCAGAAGAUCAAACAUAUACGCGGCACGUUUCUGGUUUGUCGGGCAUAAUCUUGGUAACCUACGUGCGUCUGCAUUUUCUCCUUGUUACCUGUGUCUCCUUUCUUUGCUUCUGUACGUGAGCUUGAGGGGUGUUUGGUGGCAGGAUGGAGUGCUAAUUUCAUUGAGGAAGACGUAUCAGUGAGGAUCUGAGCCCAUUCCUAGAAAGGCCUACAGACACUUGUGAAAAGGACUCUGGUCCCUCAGGACAAGACAAUCCCUGCAUGGCAAGUGCUAGGUGAACACCAUGGAGUCUUAAAGGGAAAAGAGGGGAGAUGGACUCUGGAGGGACAAGGAGAGGUCUUUUGCAGGAAGUGAGGGCGAACCGGGUCUUGCGAUGAGCAGGAGGAUGGCUCUUCCAGAAAAGACCACGCUAUACAGACAGAGCUUGGGCCUUGGAAGAAGUUCUGGGACCCCAGAUGGGGCACAAAAGCAGCGGCGUGAUUCCAUUGCCGGGGAUUAGAGGAGACAAUCACGUGGACACAAGUGGGGGGAUGUCCCAAUGGUGGCUGCAUGGAACAGCGGAUGCCCGUGUGAACCGAGCACUGGAUGGACCCUUGCUCCCAUGCGAUGGCUUUCCCAUAUCUCUUCAAGCUAGACUAAACCCUAGGAUGAUAAUGGUAGUGGGGAGAGAAGACUCCAAGUUGGCUGAGAAGACACUGCCCCAUCCUAGCAAAACAUGGCUUGAAAUUAACAUUGGAGAGAGAUUUGGAAAGCAAAGAAAACUAGGUUUCUCGUACACUUCUGUUUGUAGACUGAAAUGUACACUUGCUAUUUGUGUCUCCGUGAUGAUCUCAAAGAUGACAAACUCACUAACUGUUCAUGCCGCUGGCUUGGGAAGGGGGCAGGGGACACGCUUGUCUCCAGGGCCCAUCAUCAGUCCUGUGGUACAUGUGACGUAAGAGAUUGACUUGCAAAGCGGGGGUUGCGCAACAGAACAACGUGGGUCUGGAUGCUUUCCUACCAUCAAACUUACCAUUUGCCUCGGUUCCUCCUGAACCCGAUGGACAGUUUUCCCCGCGGUGCUAAAUUUGACAUUUCAGUCCCCUCAUAAGCGUAAAAGUGGAGGUGUCAGAGCAAACAAAAGAUUUCUUUUAAUGAUGGAAUUCAGUGUGUAUUACACCGGUCAGCAUACAUGUUGCUUUGUUUCACGGAGCCUGUGGGUAUCGUGUAUAUAACUACACAUUUCCAAAAAUAAAUACAUAUUCUAAGAAGA
Molecule: long non-coding RNA, 2152 nt
Organism: Herpailurus yagouaroundi (jaguarundi)
Lineage: Eukaryota; Metazoa; Chordata; Mammalia; Carnivora; Felidae
Exons: 4
Source: RefSeq, a predicted model, not a curated record